RNAcentral lists this ribosomal RNA (232 nucleotides) under uncultured bacterium. RNAcentral's name for it is "partial 16S ribosomal RNA". It matches the Rfam family "Bacterial small subunit ribosomal RNA", at positions 103 to 334 of the family's 1533-position model. The record is from RNAcentral.
CGGGUGAGUAACGCGUGAGGAACCUGCCUCAAAGAGGGGGACAACAGUUGGAACGACUGCUAAUACCGCAUAAGCCCACAGCUCGGCAUCGAGCAGAGGGAAAAGGAGCAAUCCGCUUUGAGAUGGCCUCGCGUCCGAUUAGCUAGUUGGUGAGGUAACGGCCCACCAAGGCGACGAUCGGUAGCCGGACUGAGAGGUUGAACGGCCACAUUGGGACUGAGACACGGCCCAG